RNAcentral lists this ribosomal RNA (1470 nucleotides) under Deltaproteobacteria bacterium. RNAcentral describes it as "partial 23S ribosomal RNA". It matches the Rfam family "Bacterial large subunit ribosomal RNA", at positions 11 to 1480 of the family's 2925-position model. The record is from RNAcentral. Lineage: Bacteria; Pseudomonadati; Myxococcota; Myxococcia.
UUAAGGGCAUUUGGUGGAUGCCUUGGCAUGCACAGCCGAUGAAGGACGUGAUACGCUGCGAAAAGCCAUGGGGAGCUGCGAAUACGCUUUGAUCCAUGGAUAUCCGAAUGGGGAAACCCACCUUAGAUACUUGGAAAUUCAAACAAGCCGUACGGCUUGACCAUUCAUGCCCUCGGGCCUGUUUGGUUUCCAAGUAUCGAGACAAGGUAUCUUAUCCUGAAUACAUAGGGAUAAGAAGGGAACGCGGGGAACUGAAACAUCUAAGUACCCGUAGGAAAGGACAUCAACCGAGACUCCGUCAGUAGCGGCGAGCGAACGCGGACCAGGCCAGUGGCGAUUGGGAGACAAGCGGAACAUUCUGGAAAGGAUGGCCAUAGUGGGUGACAGCCCCGUACGCGUAAUGCAACCAAUCGUCCUCGAGUAAGGCGGGACACGUGAAAUCCUGUCUGAACGUGGGGGGACCACCCUCCAAGCCUAAGUACUCGUGCAUGACCGAUAGCGAACCAGUACCGUGAGGGAAAGGUGAAAAGCACCCCGACAAGGGGAGUGAAAGAGUACCUGAAACCGGAUGCCUACAAACAGUCGGAGCGCGCAAGCGUGACGGCGUACCUUUUGUAUAAUGGGUCAACGACUUAAUGUGGCGAGCAAGCUUAAACCGAUAGGUGUAGGCGCAGCGAAAGCGAGUCUGAACAGGGCGUUCAGUUCGUCGCAUUAGACCCGAAACCGAGUGAUCUAGCCAUGAGCAGGCUGAAGGUUGGGUAACACCAACUGAAGGGCCGAACCCGUAUCUGUUGCAAUAGAUUGGGAUGACUUGUGGCUAGGGGUGAAAGGCCAAUCAAACUCGGAAAUAGCUGGUUCUCUGCGAAAUCUAUUUAGGUAGAGCGUCAGCCGAAUACUCCCGGGGGUAGAGCACUGGAUGGGUAAUGGGGACUCACCGUCUUACUGAUCCUAACCAAACUCCGAAUACCGGGAAGUAAUAGCUGGCAGACACACGGCGGGUGCUAACGUCCGUCGUGGAGAGGGAAACAGCCCAGACCGCCAGCUAAGGUCCCAAAAUUAACGCUAAGUGAUAAAGGAGGUGGGAUUGCCCAGACAACCAGGAGGUUUGCCUAGAAGCAGCCAUCCUCAAAGGAGUGCGUAAUAGCUCACUGGUCGAGCGAUCCUGCGCCGAAAAUGAACGGGGCUAAGCGUUAUACCGAAGCUGCGGAUAAAUUUAUUUAUGGUAGGGGAGCGUUCUAUGUAGGGUGAAGCGUUAGCGUAAGCGGACGUGGACAGCAUAGAAGUGAGAAUGUCGGCUUGAGUAGCGAAAACAUGGGUGAGAAUCCCAUGCCCCGAAACCCUAAGGGUUCCUCCGGCAGGCUCGUCCGCGGAGGGUUAGUCUGGACCUAAGGCGAGGCCGAAAGGCGUAGUCGAUGGAUAACAGGUCAAUAUUCCUGUACCAGUUGUGUUUUGGGAAGGGGGACGGAGAAG